GCCCCGCUAGCUCAGUGGACCAGAGCGGCUGCCUUCUAAGCAGCGGGUCGGGGGUUCGAAUCCCUCGCGGGGCA
RNAcentral lists this transfer RNA (74 nucleotides) under Chloroflexota bacterium. Its description in RNAcentral is "Chloroflexi bacterium tRNA-Arg". It matches the Rfam family "tRNA". From Rfam's summary of the family: Transfer RNA (tRNA) molecules are approximately 80 nucleotides in length. The record is from RNAcentral. Lineage: Bacteria; Bacillati; Chloroflexota.